RNAcentral lists this ribosomal RNA (651 nucleotides) under Bacillus sp. (in: firmicutes). Its description in RNAcentral is "bacterial SSU rRNA". It matches the Rfam family "Bacterial small subunit ribosomal RNA", at positions 40 to 674 of the family's 1533-position model. Lineage: Bacteria; Bacillati; Bacillota; Bacilli; Caryophanales; Bacillaceae. The record is from RNAcentral.
GGGCGUGUGCUAUACAUGCAGUCGAGCGGACAGAAGGGAGCUUGCUCCCGGAUGUUAGCGGCGGACGGGUGAGUAACACGUGGGUAACCUGCCUGUAAGACUGGGAUAACUCCGGGAAACCGGAGCUAAUACCGGAUAGUUCCUUGAACCGCAUGGUUCAAGGAUGAAAGACGGUUUCGGCUGUCACUUACAGAUGGACCCGCGGCGCAUUAGCUAGUUGGUGAGGUAACGGCUCACCAAGGCGACGAUGCGUAGCCGACCUGAGAGGGUGAUCGGCCACACUGGGACUGAGACACGGCCCAGACUCCUACGGGAGGCAGCAGUAGGGAAUCUUCCGCAAUGGACGAAAGUCUGACGGAGCAACGCCGCGUGAGUGAUGAAGGUUUUCGGAUCGUAAAGCUCUGUUGUUAGGGAAGAACAAGUGCAAGAGUAACUGCUUGCACCUUGACGGUACCUAACCAGAAAGCCACGGCUAACUACGUGCCAGCAGCCGCGGUAAUACGUAGGUGGCAAGCGUUGUCCGGGAAUUAUUGGGCGUAAAGGGCUCGCAGGCGGUUUCUUAAGUCUGAUGUGAAAGCCCCCGGCUCAACCGGGGAGGGUCAUUGGAAACUGGGAAACUUGAGUGCAGAAGAGGAGAGUGGAAUUCCACGU